Molecule: long non-coding RNA, 434 nt
Organism: Centropristis striata (black sea bass)
Lineage: Eukaryota; Metazoa; Chordata; Actinopteri; Perciformes; Serranidae
Exons: 3
Source: RefSeq, a predicted model, not a curated record
UGACUGUUUUUUUACCUGGUCCACAUAAAGUACUUACACUCUGUGAAGUGGAGGUUUAUGGGUACCCAAUUGGUCAGGAAUCCAACUAUACCAAAGGAGACAACCCGGUACUGCCAGAUUCCCAUGAAGAAUCACAAGGUGAGUGAUCACAACAACCCGGCAGGUGCUACUGUUGAACGCCAGCCUUCCAACAGGAUGGAUGGUCACUACGGUACCGUUGUUAUCCCUGGAAGACAGGAGCACCUGACCCUGUGAGAGGCCGAGGUUGAUGCCUCUGCCCUGGAUUCACUUUCAAUUUUUUCUUGCAAGAACUUAACCAAUGCUGUCAUAUGAAAGUAACCAAAAUAAUCGAUUCAGCUUCAAUCUGAUUGUUCUCAUGACUAAUAACCAAUAAAACUGUGUAAAAUGGGACUAAGUUUGUCUUAGACUAGGGG